RNAcentral lists this ribosomal RNA (119 nucleotides) under Prolemur simus (greater bamboo lemur). The record is from RNAcentral. Lineage: Eukaryota; Metazoa; Chordata; Mammalia; Primates; Lemuridae.
GUCUACAGCCAUACCACCCUGAAUAUGCCUGAUCUCAUUUGAUCUCAAAAGCUAAGCAGGCUCGGGCCUGGUUAGUACUUGGAUGAGAGAGAUGAUUUAUCCUACUAGGUAUUAAGAAU